GAUGAACGCUAGCGGCAGGCUUAACACAUGCAAGUCGAGGGGCAGCGCGAUGUAGCAAUACAUUGGCGGCGACCGGCGCACGGGUGCGUAACACGUAUGGAACUUACCCUUUACUGGGAGAUAGCCCGGAGAAAUCCGGAUUAAUAUCCCAUAAUAAACGAGGUGGCAUCACUUUGUUUUGGAAGCUCCGGCGGUAAAGGAUGGCCAUGCGCACGAUUAGCUAGUAGGUGAGGUAACGGCUCACCUAGGCUACGAUCGUUAGGGGGCCUGAGAGGGUUAUCCCCCACACUGGUACUGAGACACGGACCAGACUCCUACGGGAGGCAGCAGUGAGGAAUAUUGCGCAAUGGAGGCAACUCUGACGCAGCCAUGCCGCGUGCAGGAAGAAGGCGCUACGCGUUGUAAACUGCUUUUAACCGGGAGAAACCCCAGGACGUGUCCUGGGUUGACGGUACCGGAGGAAUAAGCACCGGCUAACUUCGUGCCAGCAGCCGCGGUAA
This 500-nucleotide ribosomal RNA is filed under the name uncultured bacterium. Its description in RNAcentral is "bacterial SSU rRNA". It matches the Rfam family "Bacterial small subunit ribosomal RNA", at positions 28 to 523 of the family's 1533-position model. The record is from RNAcentral.